GGGACUCGGGUAGUGCGCACGGGUGCGUACGCGUGGGACCUGCCUUUAGGUUCGGAAUAACUCAGAGAAAUUUGAGCUAAUACCGGAUAAUGUCUUCGGACCAAAGAUUUAUCGCCUUUAGAUGGGCCCGCGUUAGAUUAGAUAGUUGGUGGGGUAAUGGCCUACCAAGUCGACGAUCUAUAGCUGGUCUGAGAGGAUGAUCAGCCACACUGGGACUGAGACACGGCCCAGACUCCUACGGGAGGCAGCAGUGGGGAAUAUUGGACAAUGGGCGAAAGCCUGAUCCAGCAAUGCCGCGUGAGUGAUGAAGGCCUUAGGGUUGUAAAGCUCUUUUACCAGGGAUGAUAAUGACAGUACCUGGAGAAUAAGCUCCGGCUAACUCCGUGCCAGCAGCCGCGGUAAUACGGAGGGAGCUAGCGUUGUUCGGAAUUACUGGGCGUAAAGCGCGCGUAGGCGGUUUUUCAAGUCAGGGGUGAAAUCCCGGAGCUCAACUCCGGAACUGCCCUUGAAACUGGAUGACUAGAAUCCUGUAGAGGCGAGUGGAAUUCCGAGUGUAGAGGUGAAAUUCGUAGAUAUUCGGAAGAACACCAGUGGCGAACGCGACUCGCUGGACAGGUAUUGACGCUGAGUGCGAAAGCGUGGGGAGCAA
This 649-nucleotide ribosomal RNA is filed under the name uncultured bacterium. Its description in RNAcentral is "bacterial SSU rRNA". It matches the Rfam family "Bacterial small subunit ribosomal RNA", at positions 84 to 771 of the family's 1533-position model. The record is from RNAcentral.